AGUGAACGCUGGCGGUAGGCCUAACACAUGCAAGUCGAACGGCAGCACAGUAAGAGCUUGCUCUUACGGGUGGCGAGUGGCGGACGGGUGAGGAAUACAUCGGAAUCUACUUUUUCGUGGGGGAUAACGUAGGGAAACUUACGCUAAUACCGCAUACGACCUACGGGUGAAAGCAGGGGAUCUUCGGACCUUGCGCGAUUGAAUGAGCCGAUGUCGGAUUAGCUAGUUGGCGGGGUAAAGGCCCACCAAGGCGACGAUCCGUAGCUGGUCUGAGAGGAUGAUCAGCCACACUGGAACUGAGACACGGUCCAGACUCCUACGGGAGGCAGCAGUGGGGAAUAUUGGACAAUGGGCGCAAGCCUGAUCCAGCCAUACCGCGUGGGUGAAGAAGGCCUUCGGGUUGUAAAGCCUUUUGUUGGGAAAGAAAAUCAGCAGGUUAAUACCCCGCUGUUCUGACGGUACCCAAAGAAUAAGCACCGGCUAACUUCGUG
This 491-nucleotide ribosomal RNA is filed under the name uncultured bacterium. RNAcentral's name for it is "partial 16S ribosomal RNA". It matches the Rfam family "Bacterial small subunit ribosomal RNA", at positions 29 to 507 of the family's 1533-position model. The record is from RNAcentral.